Long non-coding RNA from Nicotiana tabacum (common tobacco), 609 nucleotides. RefSeq lists it as uncharacterized. The record is from RefSeq and is a predicted model, not a curated record. Lineage: Eukaryota; Viridiplantae; Streptophyta; Magnoliopsida; Solanales; Solanaceae.
GGCCAAUUCCUAAAAUGGCCUAAAAUAACUUUUAAACCCCAACUCAAUCUUCCCUUUUCCCAUUUUCCCUAAAAUCCCUAAAACCUAACAUCAGAAGAGCUAGAAAAAAAAUAACGGGACAUCCCCCUUGAAGAAGAGAGCAAAAACAGCACUCCAGAGCUCUCUUUUCUUCAACGAAAAGCAGACCCCUCCUUCUCCUACACUCAAAAGACCUAGCCGGCCACCCCUCCAUCAUUUCCAACCUAUUUCUAGAGAUUCCAAGAUAUUUCAGUUUCCAUUCAUCCAUGUUGAUUUUUUUUUGGAAAUUCAAAGACUUAUCGAGCUGUGAAAUACUCUCUGACUGCUUGAUUUGCUCGAUUGCUAUAGCUGAGUUCUGAUUCGCUGUUGUCCCGUACCGGAAUUUGUUCAUGUAGCAUUUUUUAGUUAAGAGGCAAGCACUAUACAGUAGAUAUAGUUAGCAAAGUAAUACAUUCCCAUAUUGCUUUGCUGGAGGAUUCUAUAUUCAUUAUACUUGUGCUUUUGAUGUAAAUUGAAAUCCCUCUAUAUUUCUGAUUCUUCCUUUCAACUUUUAAUUUAAGAAUAAGGCUAAGGAAAAGUCCUGUUGAUUCA